Molecule: long non-coding RNA, 3055 nt
Organism: Marmota monax (woodchuck)
Lineage: Eukaryota; Metazoa; Chordata; Mammalia; Rodentia; Sciuridae
Exons: 8
Source: RefSeq, a predicted model, not a curated record
AACUGCUAUUUGUAUAUUGCAUGAUAUUUUAUCAGGGAAAAAAAUAAAACUGAGAUCCAAUUUCAUGAAAAUGCUGUUGCCAUAAUGCUCAGGAGGACAGGGGGAAGAGAGAGAGUCAAGUCUUCCUAAUGUCUACCUCAUAUGCAGUUUCAGGUUUGACUUAAAUAUCUGGUGCUGGAAAAUCCUGAAAUGGAAGCCUCCCAUAAUGCUUCGUGAGCAGAUGCAGAGAUACUUCUGAAUUCCAGCAGCUGCCUACGUGGAACCAGGGCAAAGGGUUUCUCAAGCACAAAUCAUUAACACAGAGUGUUUGUUAAUACUACCACUGGAGGAAGCUUUCACAAGGCUACUUAAAACUACGUAAUCCUUUUAUGAAUAUUUCUGAAAGACCUGGAAAAUUUGACCACCAGGGAAAGUGAAUCCUACUGACUUGUAGAAUAUUCCAGACCUGCCAGAUCUGGGAACCACAGGAAAAUAUGCAUGAUUGAUUGGAGGAAGAAAGCCCAUGGAGGAGUCAAUGUCAGAAAAAAAAAAUCAGAUGAUAAAGCGAAGAUUUAGGGUAAAAACUGAGAAUUUCAAUUUUCAUAUGCCAGUAAGUGAAUCUCACUCUGCCUGAAGUCUCCAAAUUUCCACCAACACAUAAUUCUGGGAUGGAAUUGGUUGGAGUAGUGAUAAAGAAUGAAAGAGUUGUCUGACUUCUUCACUGUCUUGUUGGGCUGGAGAGCAUGAAGUGUGGUUCAUCAUCUCACAGUUGAAUCCAUGGUGCUGAAGAUCUGAAGUGUGGAGUAAAUCCUGAUUAAAACGGUAUCUCUGACCACUAUGAGAAGAACAGUGUGGGUGAGUCUGGAGUAGAAGAAGGAAUACCAGUUAAAAGAUGGCAGUGAUCCAAGAAAGAGAUGCUGGUGGCCUAGACCAGGAUGGUACCAAGAAAGAUGAUGAUCAGGUUGAUGGUGUGUUUCCAUCUGUCCACAUCUUAUGAUCUGCAGGUAUUUACUACUCAGAUCUUCAGCUGACAUGUGAGGCUCCUCUGAGAACAGGGUAGCCCAUGCUGUGCCAUGAGGGUAAUGACUCUUAUUCAGAAUUAGAACAUACUUCCUCAUCCAAACAGUUCAUAUGACCACCCAAAAGCCAAAACAUAACUUGUAGGGGAAAAGUAAAGAAGUUACCAAACCUAAUUAAAAUUCUAAUUAGACUUCUCCCAAUGUUUUGGUAAGUCGCCCAUCCCUGUGGUUUAACUUCCUUCUGCAUAGUUAAGAUACAGGAUGGCUGCAACCCCACAGCAAGAGAAAUUACAUAAUGUGGGCUCAGAGGGUUUAACAGCUGAAAUUAAUUUGAAGGCCUUUUAAGAGGUGCUAGGUGUUUUUCACACUUUUCCCCCACACCUGGUAGGUGUUGAUUCCCAUCGGUGAAAUGUCCAUUUGCUCUUUGAUUGAUGGGUUUUACAUAGAUGCUGUGAGGCAAAUUUAGAUUUGCUUUCAUUUAGAUUUCCCACUUUAUCAUGGGCACUUCGUUGCCACUUAAUUAAUUCAUCUUUCCGGAAGUGGCCUGAGAUUUUAAUCUAGUUUAUACAGGAAAGUGUAAACAAAAGAGGUCACCAUUGUCCCAGAAGUUGAGACACUGAGUAGAGGCACUCUGCAAGUAGACCAUGAUUAGGAUGCUUGGCAGUUGCUUGGCAAUUGUACUUGAUUUCCUGAGAUCAGUACUCAUCAGAAAGGCAAAGAUCCUUGCUAUGUAACAAAAUGCCCAUUAAAUAUAUUAUCAGCUAACUGGUUCAAGUUUCAUUGAAAUUGGAAAGCUCUUCAUUUUUCCUACAUAUUUCUAGUACUUGGCUGAGCUAACAAAAUUCUUGACCCUGGCUUGUGAAGCAAAAUAGAUUCCUUACUUACCUGAGGAUUUUUUAAAACAAAAUACCCAUUAUAUAGACAGGCACAAUGGCAAAGCCUCACAGUUGCUGGAAUAUCCAUCUCUAGUAGAAUGCAAAGCACACAAAUAUUUCUUAGUACCUCAGAAACUAAAGUCCUAACCAGUAGAAAUAAGCCAGGACCUCAUCUCCUUUUUUUUUUUUUUUAAUCCAAAAUUCCCCAUGCUACACCCAGGCACAUGUUUAUAGUUUCCAAGUUAUUACUCUUGCAAAAAAAAAUUAAUCUAAAACUUUGACAAACUACAGCACUUUUAUGGGUUUCCAUAGUGGCUUUUCUAUACUGCAGUAAAUUCACUAUGAAAAUUGUUAUUAUAUUAAUCAUAAGUGACUCAUUUAAAAUUAUAGUUUGGGAUCUCUUAUUUUUAAAAAGAUCCAAUUUCAUUUGUAUCAUUGCCCAAGUUUAUUUUUUAACUUAAAAUUCACAUCACAAUUCAGAAUAGGAAAUGCCACCGGAAAGUUGUUUUUCAAACCAAGAAUUUUGUUUCCAAAAAGAGAGAAUGAGAGAACAAAUAAACAUGAUAAUGCCAAUAAUUAAGUGUUACGUGAUUUUUAUAACCAAGCAGUUUAUUACAACAGCUUUUGUGGGUGGUACAAAAUAUUUGAACAGGUUUUCAAACCAGUUGGCGAUUUAUGAAAUAUUAGUGAUUGUUAUUACAGGUUGAGUUUUAUGAUCCGUGGUUGAUUUAUUUGUAUGGAACUCAGAAGGACACAUACCAGGCUAUUACUCUGCUUUGAAAAUACUGCUUAGUACCUGGUUCACCUUUGAACCACUUCUUAGGGUACUUUAGGACUCCAAGAGGGAGAAGCUAUCUGAGAAAGCAAAUGGGUUUCAAGGAAGAAGGAAAGGUAUGUGAAAUGUUCUUGCAAAGUUAGUUGAAUAUCUAUUAACUAUAAAAGUAAUAUAAAAUAAUAGCUAGUCCAUAUAAAGGGAAAACCCAGGUGAAUACAUUUAUGUUAACUUAGGAGUACCUUACACAACUGACCCCCGAAAACACUUUCAUCAAAUAAAAACCAACUCACAACUGAUGCUAAAAGAGUACGGAACCCACAAAUAGAUGAGCUUCACCAGUUUUCCCCUUCUUAAGUAAUACUACCAGAAAAGUAGAUGAAGAGAUGAACCAUAGAAUAUUCAAGAUU